This 464-nucleotide ribosomal RNA is filed under the name uncultured bacterium. Its description in RNAcentral is "partial 16S ribosomal RNA". It matches the Rfam family "Bacterial small subunit ribosomal RNA", at positions 339 to 795 of the family's 1533-position model. The record is from RNAcentral.
CUACGGGAGGCUGCAGUGGGGAAUAUUGCACAAUGGGCGCAAGCCUGAUGCAGCCAUGCCGCGUGUAUGAAGAAGGCCUUCGGGUUGUAAGGUACUUUCAGCGGGGAGGAAGGGAGUAAAGUUAAUACCUUUGCUCAUUGACGUUACCCGCAGAAGAAGCACCGGCUAACUCCGUGCCAGCAGCCGCGGUAAUACGGAUGGUGCAAGCGUUAAUCGGAAUUACUGGGCGUAAAGCGCACGCAGGCGGUUUGUUAAGUCAGAUGUGAAAUCCCCGGGCUCAACCUGGGAACUGCAUCUGAUACUGGCAAGCUUGAGUCUCGUAGAGGGGGGUAGAAUUCCAGGUGUAGCGGUGAAAUGCGUAGAGAUCUGGAGGAAUACCGGUGGCGAAGGCGGCCCCCUGGACGAAGACUGACGCUCAGGUGCGAAAGCGUGGGGAGCAAACAGGAUUAGAUACCCGAGUAGUC